RNAcentral lists this unclassified non-coding RNA (236 nucleotides) under uncultured fungus. Its description in RNAcentral is "sequence contains ITS2". The record is from RNAcentral. Lineage: Eukaryota; Fungi.
AACGCACAUUGCGCCCUGUGGUAUUCCGCGGGGCAUGCCUGUUCGAGCGUCAUCAUAAGCAAUCAAGCUUAGCUUGGUAUUGGAGCUUGCAAUUUUGCGGUUCCCAAAUAUAAUAGCAGUCUAGAUAGACCCUAAGUGUAGUAAAACUUCUCGCUUUUGGGCUCUGUGGCGGCUUGCUUAAACCUAAUUUCUUAAAGGUUGACCUCGGAUCAGGUAGGGAUACCCGCUGAACUUAA